This 955-nucleotide ribosomal RNA is filed under the name Paracnephia thornei. RNAcentral's name for it is "eukaryotic LSU rRNA". It matches the Rfam family "Eukaryotic large subunit ribosomal RNA", at positions 70 to 817 of the family's 3401-position model. The record is from RNAcentral. Lineage: Eukaryota; Metazoa; Arthropoda; Insecta; Diptera; Simuliidae.
UAGGAUUCCCUAGUAGCGGCGAGCGAAAAGGGAAAAGUCCAGCACGUAGAAUUGCAACUAUUAUGGUUGUUAAUUGAUGCCGUGUACAGGUUCGGCCAUUAUCUCAUAUUAUAAUUAGUAUGUUCAAGUCCUUCUUGAAUGAGGCAAUAUACCCAUAGAGGGUGAUAGGCCCGUAUAACUGCUAUGAUAUAUGAGAGGUUGUUUCCUAGGAGUCGUGUUGCUUGAAAGUGCAGCACUAAGCGGGAGGUAAACUCCUUCUAAGACUAAAUAUUACCAUGAGACCGAUAGCGAACAAGUACCGUGAGGGAAAGUUGAAAAGCACUCUGAAUAGAGAGUCAAAAAGUACGUGAAACUGUCUAGGGUUAAAAAAGCCUGAAGUGUCUAAAUAUCUGAAUGGAGAAAUUCAUUAUCAUAUUGUUGUAAUAUUAUUAUUUAUAUGAAGCAUAUGGUAUGCACUUUUCUCCUUGUAAGACAUUGCGAUCCAUUAGAACCUUGUGUUAAUAACUACCAUGUUGUGAGUUAUUAUAUCUGUCAAUGGGCCCGGCAUGGAGCUUACAUAUUUAAUGUUAGUACUAUAUGUUGUUAAGGUGAUAUACAGGAAAACAAUGUAAACUGCUGGUGUCUCGUAUAGAUGUCUGAUGGAUUUUAUAUGAUCACAAUAUGACAUUUUAAUUAAUGUAACCAGAAAUGGUUUUUAUUGUAUUGUGUCAUGAUCAGCAAUGUAUUUGUUUAGUAAUCUUCAGGACCCGUCUUGAAACACGGACCAAGAAGUCUAUUUUAUGCGCGAGUCAAUGAGAUAUUUAUAAACCUCAGAGGCGUAAUUAACAUAACUGUUUAUUGGGAUUACAUAUUCUGUAUUAAUAGAGAAUAUUUCCAUCCCUGGGUAUCCAUUAAUCUUGUUUCGUUUUACGACGAUAAUAAGUGGGAUAUACCAUGAGCGCAUAAAAUGUGACCC